Molecule: ribosomal RNA, 89 nt
Filed under: Microtus ochrogaster (prairie vole)
Lineage: Eukaryota; Metazoa; Chordata; Mammalia; Rodentia; Cricetidae
Source: RNAcentral
GUCUACUGCUGUACCAGUCUGAGUGUUCCAAAUCUGACCUUAGAGGUUAAGCAGAGUUGGGCCUGGUUAAUACUUGGAUGGAGAAAAUC